This 1830-nucleotide ribosomal RNA is filed under the name Salmonella enterica. RNAcentral describes it as "partial 23S ribosomal RNA". It matches the Rfam family "Bacterial large subunit ribosomal RNA", at positions 679 to 2405 of the family's 2925-position model. Lineage: Bacteria; Pseudomonadati; Pseudomonadota; Gammaproteobacteria; Enterobacterales; Enterobacteriaceae. The record is from RNAcentral.
GAGUCUUAACCGGGCGUUAAGUUGCAGGGUAUAGACCCGAAACCCGGUGAUCUAGCCAUGGGCAGGUUGAAGGUUGGGUAACACUAACUGGAGGACCGAACCGACUAAUGUUGAAAAAUUAGCGGAUGACCUGUGGCUGGGGGUGAAAGGCCAAUCAAACCGGGAGAUAGCUGGUUCUCCCCGAAAGCUAUUUAGGUAGCGCCUCGUGAAUUCAUCUCCGGGGGUAGAGCACUGUUUCGGCUAGGGGGCCAUCCCGGCUUACCAACCCGAUGCAAACUGCGAAUACCGGAGAAUGUUAUCACGGGAGACACACGGCGGGUGCUAACGUCCGUCGUGAAGAGGGAAACAACCCAGACCGCCAGCUAAGGUCCCAAAGUCAUGGUUAAGUGGGAAACGAUGUGGGAAGGCCCAGACAGCCAGGAUGUUGGCUUAGAAGCAGCCAUCAUUUAAAGAAAGCGUAAUAGCUCACUGGUCGAGUCGGCCUGCGCGGAAGAUGUAACGGGGCUAAACCAUGCACCGAAGCUGCGGCAGCGAACGUAUCACCCAAGACAACUUUACGGAGUUGACGAUUGACGGAGCGAAGCGACGUCAAAGCGUUCAUUAAAGUCGAGUUGGCUUAGGGAUACGUUCGUUGGGUAGGGGAGCGUUCUGUAAGCCUGUGAAGGUGUGUCGUGAGGCAUGCUGGAGGUAUCAGAAGUGCGAAUGCUGACAUAAGUAACGAUAAAGCGGGUGAAAAGCCCGCUCGCCGGAAGACCAAGGGUUCCUGUCCAACGUUAAUCGGGGCAGGGUGAGUCGACCCCUAAGGCGAGGCCGAAAGGCGUAGUCGAUGGGAAACGGGUUAAUAUUCCCGUACUUGGUGUUACUGCGAAGGGGGGACGGAGAAGGCUAUGUUGGCCGGGCGACGGUUGUCCCGGUUUAAGCGUGUAGGUGUGUGUUCCAGGUAAAUCCGGUUCACUUUAACACUGAGGCGUGACGACGAGGCACUACGGUGCUGAAGCAACAAAUGCCCUGCUUCCAGGAAAAGCCUCUAAGCAUCAGGUAACAUCAAAUCGUACCCCAAACCGACACAGGUGGUCAGGUAGAGAAUACCAAGGCGCUUGAGAGAACUCGGGUGAAGGAACUAGGCAAAAUGGUGCCGUAACUUCGGGAGAAGGCACGCUGACACGUAGGUGAAGUGAUUUACUCAUGGAGCUGAAGUCAGUCGAAGAUACCAGCUGGCUGCAACUGUUUAUUAAAAACACAGCACUGUGCAAACACGAAAGUGGACGUAUACGGUGUGACGCCUGCCCGGUGCCGGAAGGUUAAUUGAUGGGGUCAGCGCAAGCGAAGCUCCUGAUCGAAGCCCCGGUAAACGGCGGCCGUAACUAUAACGGUCCUAAGGUAGCGAAAUUCCUUGUCGGGUAAGUUCCGACCUGCACGAAUGGCGUAAUGAUGGCCAGGCUGUCUCCACCCGAGACUCAGUGAAAUUGAACUCGCUGUGAAGAUGCAGUGUACCCGCGGCAAGACGGAAAGACCCCGUGAACCUUUACUAUAGCUUGACACUGAACAUUGAGCCUUGAUGUGUAGGAUAGGUGGGAGGCUUUGAAGUGUGGACGCCAGUCUGCAUGGAGCCGACCUUGAAAUACCACCCUUUAAUGUUUGAUGUUCUAACGUGGACCCGUAAUCCGGGUUGCGGACAGUGUCUGGUGGGUAGUUUGACUGGGGCGGUCUCCUCCUAAAGAGUAACGGAGGAGCACGAAGGUUGGCUAAUCCUGGUCGGACAUCAGGAGGUUAGUGCAAUGGCAUAAGCCAGCUUGACUGCGAGCGUGACGGCGCGAGCAGGUGCGAAAG